This 264-nucleotide ribosomal RNA is filed under the name uncultured bacterium. RNAcentral describes it as "partial 16S ribosomal RNA". It matches the Rfam family "Bacterial small subunit ribosomal RNA", at positions 793 to 1055 of the family's 1533-position model. The record is from RNAcentral.
GUCCUUGUCGUAAACGAUGUGUACUUGAUGUAGUUAGGCUCAACCCUGACUGUGUCGUAGCUAACGCGAUAAGUACACCGCCUGAGGAGUACGCUCGCAAGGGUGAAACUCAAAAGAAUUGACGGGGGCCCCGCACAAGCAGUGGAGCAUGUGGUUUAAUUCGAUGCAACGCGAAGAACCUUACCUGGGCUCGAAAUGCAGAGGGCGAUACCAGAAAUGGUAUUUUCCGUAAGGACUUCUGUAUAGGUGCUGCAUGGCUGUCGU